UGAGAUGGAUGGAAGGCACUAUUCUUCAU
Molecule: non-coding RNA, 29 nt
Filed under: Mus musculus (house mouse)
Lineage: Eukaryota; Metazoa; Chordata; Mammalia; Rodentia; Muridae
Source: RNAcentral